UGUUCUGUAGCUUAGUUGGUUAAAGCGCCGGUCUAGCGAAUACGGAGCCAUGGGUUCGAAUCCCACCAGAACGA
Aedes albopictus (Asian tiger mosquito) is the source of this 74-nucleotide non-coding RNA. NCBI's taxonomy places the organism in Eukaryota, Metazoa, Arthropoda, Insecta, Diptera, Culicidae. The record is from Rfam.